Molecule: transfer RNA, 72 nt
Filed under: Histoplasma capsulatum G186AR
Lineage: Eukaryota; Fungi; Ascomycota; Eurotiomycetes; Onygenales; Ajellomycetaceae
Also listed under: 3 other names
Description: tRNA-Arg (TCT) (tRNA-Arg-TCT-2-1)
Rfam family: tRNA
About the family: Transfer RNA (tRNA) molecules are approximately 80 nucleotides in length. Their secondary structure includes four short double-helical elements and three loops (D, anti-codon, and T loops).
Source: RNAcentral
GCCCUCGUAGCCCAAUGGUAGGGCGUCAGACUUCUAAUCUGAAGGCUGCGGGUUCGAGUCCCGCCGGGGGUA